Long non-coding RNA from Oncorhynchus tshawytscha (Chinook salmon), 418 nucleotides. The record is from Ensembl. Lineage: Eukaryota; Metazoa; Chordata; Actinopteri; Salmoniformes; Salmonidae.
UUGUUCUUGUGUUUGUGUUUGUGUUUCCCAAAAAGCUAUUUAGUUUUGUUUUUGUAAUUUGUUUUAUUCUGAUUGAUUGGAUGUUCUGGUCCUGAGGCUUCAGUGUGUUAGUAGAACAGGUUAGUGAACUAGGGCCCAGGACCAGCUGGAUGAGGGGACUGAGGCUUCAGUGUGUUAAUAGAACAGGUUUGUGAACUCAGGACCAGCUGGACGAGGGGACUGAGGCUUCAGUGUGUUAGUAGAACAGGUUUGUGAACUCAGGACCAGCUGGACGAGGGGACUGAGGCUUCAGUGUGUUAGUAGAACAGGUUUGUGAACUCAGCCCCAGGACCAGCUGGAUGAGGGGACUCUUUUCUUUGAUCAGCUCUUGGCAUUGCAGGGCUUGGUAAUGCUAUGAGAGGUGGUCACUGUAUUUUAG